CUGAUAGUGAGUUCUUAUGAGAUCUGGUUGUA
This 32-nucleotide non-coding RNA is filed under the name Homo sapiens (human). Lineage: Eukaryota; Metazoa; Chordata; Mammalia; Primates; Hominidae. The record is from RNAcentral.